RNAcentral lists this ribosomal RNA (253 nucleotides) under uncultured bacterium. RNAcentral's name for it is "partial 16S ribosomal RNA". It matches the Rfam family "Bacterial small subunit ribosomal RNA", at positions 524 to 776 of the family's 1533-position model. RNAcentral also lists the same sequence under 1 other name. The record is from RNAcentral.
UACGGGGGGUGCGAGCGUUGUCCGGAAUCACUGGGCGUAAAGGGCGCGUAGGUGGUGUCGUAAGUCUGUGGUGAAAGCCCGGGGCUCAACCCCGGGUCUGCCGCGGAGACUGCGAGACUUGAGUACUGUAGAGGCUGGUAGAAUGCCGGGUGUAGCGGUGGAAUGCGUAGAGAUCCGGCAGAAGACCGGUGGCGAAGGCGGCCAGCUGGGCAGUAACUGACACUGAGGCGCGACAGCGUGGGGAGCAAACAGG